AUUAAAGCUGGAAAGCUAGAUCAAGGAAUCAGAUGCAGAUCCAGAUUAGGAUACCUGGCAGGGUUUUUAUUUUAUCUUACAUUGUCGACGCAAAAAGUAUGGGCCUCAUUCUUUCGGAGGGGUUGAAGUCACCGCUUUCCCAUCCAAAAACUCCGAGUGCAGGAUUUCGGCGGAUCCAGCCAGUUCCGCUCUCCCUAGUUUCUGGCUCAGGCCACGAUGAUCAGUGACGAGACCACACAGUACGAGUUACUGAGGAGCUUCUUGGAAGGACGGCCGGUGUUUGAGAGCUGUAUAUGAAAACUAGAUUCCAGGAAGUAAAAGAAUUGUGUACCUUUCAGGAAACUUUAACCAAAAGGUGAGUAUGAACAGAACAGUGAAGAUUGCGUGCGUGCCAGGCGAGUCAUAACAUGGCCUUCCAUUCCAUAUCUCAUGCCAAAGUUCUUAAGUACUGACACACUUGCAACACAAGUUCUUUAUUUUUCCCUUCCAUCUGAUGCCCACGUUUCAUACUAGGAAGGAAAGCCAAAACAAAGAAGACACUCUUGACUUGCUAUCCCGAAGGAUGAAACUUGGCUGCCAACAGAAGGGCCUUGUCACUAUAAAUUUCUUCCACGCAGCUUGCCAGUCCCCGGUCGAUCUCACAAUUGAAGAAACACUCACGAAUUUGGAGGAUUGCGAGCAAGAGCUUUAAAAACAUGCCGGUGUUGCGUUUCCAUCGCUCUAGUUUUGCCAAAGUCUCGAAUUUUUAAUUUCGUGUGUAGCGUGUGGUGGUUUUAUCAAGUGGGCAACAACGACCACAAAGAAUUGAUCGAUUGCUCAAAGCUUUCUGGUGGGCAUGUGAUGAAGUGGUGGUUGCUGCAAAAUACCCCCAACAACUGAAAAGAUUGGACCACUGUUUGUUCCUCGACCACCGAAAUUCCGGGUAGAAAUCUUAUCCGUUGACUCUUUGAUGACCAUCG
RNAcentral lists this long non-coding RNA (959 nucleotides) under Selaginella moellendorffii. RNAcentral describes it as "long non-coding RNA (SMOE_LNC002271)". Lineage: Eukaryota; Viridiplantae; Streptophyta; Lycopodiopsida; Selaginellales; Selaginellaceae. The record is from RNAcentral.